Molecule: ribosomal RNA, 400 nt
Filed under: uncultured bacterium
Lineage: Bacteria
Description: bacterial SSU rRNA
Rfam family: Bacterial small subunit ribosomal RNA
Source: RNAcentral
UGGGGAAUAUUGCACAAUGGGCGAAAGCCUGAUGCAGCAACGCCGCGUGAGCGAUGAAGGCCUUUGGGUCGUAAAGCUCUGUCCUUGGGGAAGAAACAAAUGACGGUACCCUUGGAGGAAGCCCCGGCUAACUACGUGCCAGCAGCCGCGGUAAUACGUAGGGGGCGAGCGUUAUCCGGAAUUAUUGGGCGUAAAGAGUGCGUAGGUGGCCAUGUAAGCGCGGGGUGAAAGGCAAUAGCUUAACUAUUGUAAGCCUUGCGAACUGUGUGGCUUGAGUGCAGGAGAGGAAAGUGGAAUUCCUAGUGUAGCGGUGAAAUGCGUAGAUAUUAGGAGGAACACCAGUGGCGAAGGCGACUUUCUGGACUGUAACUGACACUGAGGCACGAAAGCGUGGGGAGCA